UAGGCAGUCUCGGACAGUCUAGAAAUGUC
RNAcentral lists this non-coding RNA (29 nucleotides) under Mus musculus (house mouse). The record is from RNAcentral. Lineage: Eukaryota; Metazoa; Chordata; Mammalia; Rodentia; Muridae.